Long non-coding RNA from Taeniopygia guttata (zebra finch), 1551 nucleotides. The record is from Ensembl. NCBI's taxonomy places the organism in Eukaryota, Metazoa, Chordata, Aves, Passeriformes, Estrildidae.
GAGGGACCGGAUCCCGCACGGAUCGAGUCGGAAUUCCAUGUGGGAUCGAGUCGGAAUUCCAUGUGGGAAUGUGUUGGAAUUCCAUGUGGGAAUGUGUUGCAAUUCCAUGUGGGAACGCCGGGAUCCUGUGCGGGAAUGUUGGGAUCAGUGUGGGAAUUCUGGGAUCCAACAUGAGAAUUCUGGGAUCCCACAUGGGAAUGUCGGGAUCCGACGCGGGAAUGCCCAAAUUCCAUAUGGGAAUGUCAGGAUUCGAGUGGGAAGCCCCAAAUUCCGUGUGGGAAUUCUGGAAUCCUGUGUGGGAAUGUUGGGAUCCAACAUAAGAAUUCUGGGAUCCCGUGUGGGAAUGCCGAGAUCCCAUGUGGGAAGCCCCAAAUUCCGUGUGGGAAUGUCGGGAUCCCGUGUCAGAAUGUCAGGAUUUGUGUGGGAAUGCCCAAAUUCCAUAUGGGAAUGUCAGGAUCUGUGUGGGAAUGCCCAAAUUCCAUGUGGGAAUGCCGAAAUUCCGUGCGGGAGCGGCCGUGUGCUCCCCACCUCCAGAUCUCCAUAAAACAUCGGAUCCGCCGCUUCCCGACUUUUCCGUCAUCCCGGAGGGGUUUGGGAAUCAACGGAGGGAUCCGACCCCGGGAACGGGGAUUGGGGCGGGAAUUGGGAGUUGGGAAUGGGAAUUGGGAUCCGGAGUUGGGAAUUGGGAUCUGGGAAUGGGAAUUGGGAAUUGGGAAUGGGAAUUGGGAUCUGGGAACGGGAAUUGGGAUCCAGAGUUGGGAAUUGGGAUCCGGGAACGGGAAUUGGGAUCUGGGAAAGGGAAUUGGGAUCCGGAGUUGGGAAUUGGGAUCCGGAGUUGGGAAUUGGGAUCCAGAGUUGGGAAUUGGGAUCCGGAGUCGGGAAUUGGGAUCUGGGAAUGGGAAUUGGGAAUGGGAAUGGGAAUUGGGAUCCGGAGUUGGGAAUUGGGAUCCAGAGUUGGGAAUUGGGAUCCAGAGUUGGGAAUUGGGAAUGGGAAUGGGAAUUGGGAUCUGGGAACAGGAAUUGGGAAUUGGGAACAGGAAUUGGGAUCUGGGAAUGGGAAUUGGGAUCUGGGAACGGGAAUUGGGAUCCGGAGUUGGGAAUUGGGAUCCGGAGUUGGGAAUUGGGAUCCGGCCCCGGGAAUUGGGAUCCGGAGUCGGGAAUUGGGGAAUGGGGAUGGGAAUUGGGAUCCAGAGUUGGGAAUUGGGAUCCGGGAAAGGGAAUUGGGAUCCGGAGUUGGGAAUUGGGAUCCGGGAAUGGAAAUUGGGAUCCGGAGUUGGGAAUUGGGAUCCAGAGUUGGGAAUUGGGGUCUGGGAAUGGGAAUUGGGAUCUGGGAAUGGGAAUUGGGAUCCGGAGUUGGGAAUUGGGAUCCGGGAAUGGAAAUUGGGAUCCGGAGUUGGGAAUUGGGAUCCAGAGUUGGGAAUUGGGGUCUGGGAAUGGGAAUUGGGAUCUGGGAAUGGGAAUUGGGAUCCGGAGUUGGGAAUUGGGAUCUGGGAAUGGGAAUUGGGAUCCGGAGUUGGGAAUUGGGAAUGGGAAUUGGGAGCUGGGAAUGGG